AAAAGAACCUGAAACCGUGUACGUACAAGCAGUGGGAGCCCCACCACCAAAGCAUUCUCUGGUGUUGAAGGCCCUGCAAAGCAGCAUCGCGGUGGCGGAGCGUCGUUUGCGACGCCCAACACACAAAACAAGCGGUGAAUGCUUUGGGGUGGGGUGACUGCGUACCUUUUGUAUAAUGGGUCAGCGACUUAUAUUCUGUAGCAAGGUUAACCGUAUAGGGGAGCCGGAGGGAAACCGAGUCUUAAUUGGGCGUUAAGUUGCAGGGUAUAGACCCGAAACCCGGUGAUCUAGCCAUGGGCAGGUUGAAGGUUGGGUAACACUAACUGGAGGACCGAACCGACUAAUGUUGAAAAAUUAGCGGAUGACCUGUGGCUGGGGGUGAAAGGCCAAUCAAACCGGGAGAUAGCUGGUUCUCCCCGAAAGCUAUUUAGGUAGCGCCUCGUGAAUUCAUCUCCGGGGGUAGAGCACUGUUUCGGCUAGGGGGCCAUCCCGGCUUACCAACCCGAUGCAAACUGCGAAUACCGGAGAAUGUUAUCACGGGAGACACACGGCGGGUGCUAACGUCCGUCGUGAAGAGGGAAACAACCCAGACCGCCAGCUAAGGUCCCAAAGUCAUGGUUAAGUGGGAAACGAUGUGGGAAGGCCCAGACAGCCAGGAUGUUGGCUUAGAAGCAGCCAUCAUUUAAAGAAAGCGUAAUAGCUCACUGGUCGAGUCGGCCUGCGCGGAAGAUGUAACGGGGCUAAACCAUGCACCGAAGCUGCGGCAGCGAACGUAUCACCCAAGACAACUUUACGGAGUUGACGAUUGACGGAGCGAAGCGACGUCAAAGCGUUCAUUAAAGUCGAGUUGGCUUAGGGAUACGUUCGUUGGGUAGGGGAGCGUUCUGUAAGCCUGUGAAGGUGUGUCGUGAGGCAUGCUGGAGGUAUCAGAAGUGCGAAUGCUGACAUAAGUAACGAUAAAGCGGGUGAAAAGCCCGCUCGCCGGAAGACCAAGGGUUCCUGUCCAACGUUAAUCGGGGCAGGGUGAGUCGACCCCUAAGGCGAGGCCGAAAGGCGUAGUCGAUGGGAAACGGGUUAAUAUUCCCGUACUUGGUGUUACUGCGAAGGGGGGACGGAGAAGGCUAUGUUGGCCGGGCGACGGUUGUCCCGGUUUAAGCGUGUAGGUGUGUGUUCCAGGUAAAUCCGGUUCACUUUAACACUGAGGCGUGACGACGAGGCACUACGGUGCUGAAGCAACAAAUGCCCUGCUUCCAGGAAAAGCCUCUAAGCAUCAGGUAACAUCAAAUCGUACCCCAAACCGACACAGGUGGUCAGGUAGAGAAUACCAAGGCGCUUGAGAGAACUCGGGUGAAGGAACUAGGCAAAAUGGUGCCGUAACUUCGGGAGAAGGCACGCUGACACGUAGGUGAAGUGAUUUACUCAUGGAGCUGAAGUCAGUCGAAGAUACCAGCUGGCUGCAACUGUUUAUUAAAAACACAGCACUGUGCAAACACGAAAGUGGACGUAUACGGUGUGACGCCUGCCCGGUGCCGGAAGGUUAAUUGAUGGGGUCAGCGCAAGCGAAGCUCCUGAUCGAAGCCCCGGUAAACGGCGGCCGUAACUAUAACGGUCCUAAGGUAGCGAAAUUCCUUGUCGGGUAAGUUCCGACCUGCACGAAUGGCGUAAUGAUGGCCAGGCUGUCUCCACCCGAGACUCAGUGAAAUUGAACUCGCUGUGAAGAUGCAGUGUACCCGCGGCAAGACGGAAAGACCCCGUGAACCUUUACUAUAGCUUGACACUGAACAUUGAGCCUUGAUGUGUAGGAUAGGUGGGAGGCUUUGAAGUGUGGACGCCAGUCUGCAUGGAGCCGACCUUGAAAUACCACCCUUUAAUGUUUGAUGUUCUAACGUGGACCCGUUACCCGGGUUGCGGACAGUGUCUGGUGGGUAGUUUGACUGGGGCGGUCUCCUCCUAAAGAGUAACGGAGGAGCACGAAGGUUGGCUAAUCCUGGUCGGACAUCAGGAGGUUAGUGCAAUGGCAUAAGCCAGCUUGACUGCGAGCGUGACGGCGCGAGCAGGUGCGAAAGCAGGUCAUAGUGAUCCGGUGGUUCUGAAUGGAAGGGCCAUCGCUCAACGGAUAAAAGGUACUCCGGGGAUAACAGGCUGAUACCGCCCAAGAGUUCAUAUCGACGGCGGUGUUUGGCACCUCGAUGUCGGCUCAUCACAUCCUGGGGCUGAAGUAGGUCCCAAGGGUAUGGCUGUUCGCCAUUUAAAGUGGUACGCGAGCUGGGUUUAGAACGUCGUGAGACAGUUCGGUCCCUAUCUGCCGUGGGCGCUGGAGAACUGAGGGGGGCUGCUCCUAGUACGAGAGGACCGGAGUGGACGCAUCACUGGUGUUCGGGUUGUCAUGCCAAUGGCACUGCCCGGUAGCUAAAUGCGGAAGAGAUAAGUGCUGAAAGCAUCUAAGCACGAAACUUGCCCCGAGAUGAGUUCUCCCUGAGACUUAGAGUCUCCUGAAGGAACGUUGAAGACGACGACGUUGAUAGGCCGGGUGUGUAAGCGCAGCGAUGCGUUGAGCUAACCGGUACUAAUGAACCGUGAGGCUUAACCUUACAACGCCGAAG
Molecule: ribosomal RNA, 2603 nt
Filed under: Salmonella enterica subsp. enterica serovar Typhimurium
Lineage: Bacteria; Pseudomonadati; Pseudomonadota; Gammaproteobacteria; Enterobacterales; Enterobacteriaceae
Description: bacterial LSU rRNA
Rfam family: Bacterial large subunit ribosomal RNA
Source: RNAcentral